This is a long non-coding RNA of Felis catus (domestic cat), 10037 nucleotides long. RefSeq lists it as uncharacterized. Lineage: Eukaryota; Metazoa; Chordata; Mammalia; Carnivora; Felidae. The transcript is spliced from 8 exons. The record is from RefSeq and is a predicted model, not a curated record.
UCUGUCAAAAAUAAAUAAACAUUAAAAAAAAUUUUUUUUUUUUUAAACAGAGUGUAUAGGAAAGGUCUCACAGAGAAAAUGAGCAAAGACCUAAAAGAGCAGAAGGGGCCAGCUUUGUGGAUGUCUGGGUCCAGACAGUGCAGAGGCCCUGUGACGGGGGCGUGCCUGGCCUGUUCAAGGAGCAACAGGCCAGUGUGGCCAGAGAGGAGUGAGUGAAAUAGAGUAGGAGAGGAGGUCUGGAAGUAGGGGGGCCCGUGUCCCAUGGGGCCUUGUAGGCUUUUCUCUGAGGAGAUGGGAUCCCUUUGGGGACUGCCGGAUACACCCAGGAGCAGCACGUGCUACAUGUCAGGCAUGGUGCUAGGUGUUGAUGACACCCAAAGGAAAAGACACAGUUACUGUCUUGAGGAGUUCACAGUCUAAUGUUGGAAUGUGAAUGAAGAUGUAAAGAAACUAUUUUCUAGGCAAUAGUGUACCAAGGGGGCAGGAGGUGGGAGCACAGGCCACCAGGGACUGUCUGACGAAGUUUUAAAAACAUUAAUAAAACCAACUAAAAGGCGGUCUCCUUUUCCAUCACCAUAUUCCCAACAGUGCAUCCACCCCCAACCACAUUGACUCAAGGCACUACGACUGAGAGAGCUCAAGAGUAUUGGCAAAGGGGAUGAGAAGUCAGGAGAGGCUAGACAGCUUGGGUGAUAUAAGGAUAGGCAAGAGUUGACUACACAGACAAGUCAGGGAAGGGCAUUGUAAGCGGGGGGAACAGAAAGUGCGCAGGCACAGAAACAUGAAAAAACACGGCAGGUGUGAGGGCAUGCUGAAAUAGCCUAGUACGACCCGAGCAUAGUCACUGUGCACACGGUCGGGAGAGGAGACUGAGCAUGUGGGCACAGCCCUCUUCUCAGGGGCCUCAUCUGUCACGCUAAGAAAGGUGGAUAUGAUCCUGUGGUUGGUCGGCAUCCGCCACACGAUUUCUAAGCUGGGGCGAGACAGGGGAGAUCUGCAUUUUGGAUGUUCCUCUGCACGGCGGUGCAGACGAUGGCUAGGGAGGGAGACCGGUCAGGAGAUGCUGCAGUGGGGCUUUGAGAGCCUGGGCAAGGGAUGGACAUGCAUACCAUCGCAUAGGGUGUGAGCUUUGUAACUGGAGGCAUCCCAUUCGUAUCAGCUGGACUCUCCCUCCUUCAGCACCUGAGUCUCAAGGCAGUCCUGACAUUUAGGGAUCCUCCAGGGUGCAGCUGGGCCUGGGCUCAGGGUGCUGUGCUCCAACUCUCAAGACAUCCACCACACCUCUGUCUUCCCUUUGCCAAGCCUGGAACGUGGCUUCAGAUGGUUUCUGUCCUCCCUCCCCUAACCUGCUGGCAUGCUCUUCUGGGGCAAAAACCCACAUAGGAACCACAGCAAAGCUCACUUUGGCAACUGUGUAGAUUUAAUUCCUUUCAUCUACAGGUUUGAGAGCUGAGCUAUGUGCACCAAAAGACUUCUGUGGCUAGUCAGCAAAAAAUGUACAUAUCUUGACUUUUAUGUACAAGAGAUAAGAAGUAUCAGAUGAACAGCCUCUUUUUCUCUCAUGAGUUAAAACACAAACUACUUCUUUGUGUGUAAUGGCUGUUUGAACAAUUAGGGCAGCGAUGGUCUAUCAGAUAACGUUUUAAAACCUUCCUGAUCCAUGCAGCUGAGCUGAGCGCUCUACGACCUGUGGAUCUUUCUGGUAACACUGUUAUCUCUAACGACUGAUAAAGAGUUCACAAGCUUUUCCACUUAAAAUCCCAGAUAGCAGACAAAGCAAAGCUCGAAUUGUUAAGGUUGGUUUGUUUGUGUGCCUAUUUCUUUGUUUACCUUCUUAGCGUUUGGGAAGAGCACAGGGAUGAAUCUGAAAUUCAUGCUUCCUUGUUUUAUGAACUCAAUCUGCAUCUGGAACAGAAGGAAUGUGAAAGUUUGAUUUCAGGAAUGAGGAGGAGGAGUUAAUGGCACCCACAAUCAUGCAAGGCCCACACAGCGUUUUUAUUCUGAUUUCGAGUGCCACACACUUCGCCUUUCAGGUGCCCCCCCUGACACAUGCAUGCCAUACACACGAAUCAUUUGUUGAAGGCCUGUUAAACAUCACACUCAGUGCUCGACCUUGGGUUUCAAGGAUUAGGAUACCCUCCAGGGUGUGCUGAGCUGGCUCCUAUCGGCUCACAAAAGCCAGUUGUAUGCAUCCAUUCCUAAUUCCUUGUGCAGUGAUUUUACACUGGUAGCUUGAAAUGGGCCCUAAUGAGAGUAUUUAUACCAUGGAAAUGGGGAAAUGCUACAAAUCAGGAUUUUUUUUUUUUUUUUUUUUCUUGAGAACCAGUUUACCGGAACACUACAGAUACAAUCCCUAUCCUCCGAAAGUCAGCAGAUUGGUGCGGAGGAAGAAGGGUAAAUUGCCAACCACGGUGCAGUGUGAAAAGUUUAAACAAAUUGCUGUGGAAGGCCAAAAUGGGGGCCAUCCAUUCUGCAUCAGUGAUUUGAAGAGUUACAGGGGACAUGUCACUUAGAUACUGGAAGACAAGAAUAAUUUGAUCAGGCAGAAGAAGUGGGGGAGAGGGGAAGGACACUCCCAGCAGACGAAACAGCAAGAGCAAACCUUUGGAGGUGUGAAAGAAUUUUAGUGGGGUUGGGGCCAGCCAACAAUGCUUUGUGGCUAGAGCACAGGAUGGGCUAGGGAGGGGAUGGGAGAUGAGGCUGGGGGGGAGGGGGGGGCGGUCAACCGUGAGGAGCUCUGCCUGCCACAGGACAUGUAGGUUCCCCACACGGUUCCAGUUUGCUCUGACACUGCUGUGGCCCCAAAAGACUCAGCUGCCAAGAACUGUAUCAAAACCAGAAUUUUCAAGAUGAGCGGAGCUGGGAGUCUUCCCAAUCCUGUGACCAGCACAAAGCUCUCAGUCAGUCAUCUGAUGACAAGGAGAUGAGGAAUGAUGUGUCCCCAAGUAUUUCAUCUUCCAAUUGAUUUUUAAAACUGAGAAAUCUUCAUUGUGCAGGGGAAUACAAACAGGACAGAGAAGUGACAGUGGUGACAGUUGGUUUUUGAAGUCGCCAUAGAAACCCACAAACACAGUCUCACGCGUGCGCACUCACACACACACAUACACACACACACACACACCACACACAAAUGCCCCACACGGUGUUUUCUCAGAACCGCUGUCUUUUAAAAUCCAGAGGACCAAAAGCGCAUUUUAAAAUGACCCACGUACAGUGCAACUGAAAGCACCAAUCAUCAGGACAAACACGUGAAAGGAAGGGCACAGGGUUUAGAAGCUAAAAGUAAAGAACUGGAUUUCACCUCUGACUUCCCAGGACCCUGUCUCUAAAAUUUUGCUUGUCUGCUAGGCUACCCAGCCUGCCGGCGGGCCAGAGAGCAGCGGCGGAUUAUAGUUUUCUCUCGUAUUUCCAGAUACCGGCUUUUCGUGAAGUCACUGGCUCUAUAAUGCGGUUACUCCUGGGUACCUUUUCACUCCCUCUGUCCUAGAGGUUUCUGCUGCCUGGAGGGGACCUGGAGGUCAGCCAGCUGGGCAGGAAGGCACUUCUGUAUCAGGCCUCUUCAACUCCUUCAGUGAUAAGGAAGGGCCCAAGACAUCCAUGUCCCCAGACACUGAGUUUGGAGACAAUCUGGUUCAUGGCUGGGCACAGUCAGACAAACUCUGAGGUUGAGCUGCGUUUUACUGCCUGGCGUGGCCACACACCAGCAGACCUUGACAGGUUUCCUCAGGAACUGGCAGGGACCUGGAGCCCUUCCCACACACCAGCUGUCAGCUCCCAGGACUGGCAGGUUCCUAGAGAUGCAGACAGGACAUUGAGUGCUUUGGGGCCAGCCAGACAUGCAGCAGACAGCCAAGGGAUGGCAGCACCCGCAGCCAGCCGUGACCCUUUUCUGGGCCCUGUCCAACCCCUGGGGGGCUGUCAGACUGGGAGAGGAUGAACAGGGGGGAGGCUUCGCUCCUGAUUCCCUGGCCUUACUCUCUGACCUCACCACCUUGCCUCGGGUUGGUUCUGAACUCGCACAAGUGGUCGGCACUUGGUAGAAGAGGAGACAGAUGGGGAACUCCCACCCACUCUGCCUUUUUCCUGUGCUCCUGAUCCCAGGACAGACCUGGACUUAAGUCAGCUUCUGCUGAGGUGCCUGUGGAAUGUUACCGUUGAAAUGGAGCUUACGAGUUCUAGUCCAGUGGAUUUCAAGCCUUUUCAAAUCUCAAAAUCCUUGGUAAACAAGCCUGAGGAAAGCAAACCAGCUGUGGCUGAGUUGGGGUUGGAGGCCCAGAGCCGCCCUGACCCCCAGCACCUGCGAGAGUCCAUCGGGGACAUUUUGACCCGCAGGACAUUUUGAAAGUCACAAGUCUAGUCCAGCGCCCUAGUCAAGCAGGGACCAUCUCCACAGCAUCUCUGUAAUCCUGGAAAGCAGGGGAGAUUGCUAGCUCACAAAACAGCCAAUUCCAAAGCUGGGUGGUAUUUUCGGUCAGAAUGUUUUGCCAGAUGCUGAGCACGCCUAACUUCCUACAAAUUUUUCCCACUGGUUUUAGUUUGACCAGAUCCCAUAGUUUAGGUGUGGCCGUGGAUGGUUGCUCAUCUAUCAUGAGCUAAGAACAGUCCCUUCCCUUGAUGUGAGCAUCGAUAUGUUCGUCACGAACGAUUUCAUUCCAUCUUUACGACACUGUAAGUAUUAGUGACCCAUUUUAUGAUUAGGGACAUGGAGGCACAGAGAAGCUUAAGCAGUUGGCCCGCAGUCACACAACUAUACAUGAGGAAGCAGAAUUUGAACCGGGUCUAUUUGACACAACAGCACGGGUCCUUUUCACUAUGCUACUCUGCCUCUCUGGUGAGGCAGGGGUCAGAAUAGGACACAGAUGCAGGAGCCCGCUCUCCCGCACAGCCCUGUCCCCUGCCCUCUUGGGACUUCACAUUUGUUGGUAAACAACCAAGUCAGCAGAGCACUGUUUUCCAGAACCUUGGACGCUCCAGAGCACAUGUGAAUCUCCCCUUGCUCCUGAUAGGAACGGAGUCCCAGAGACGUGGUCACUUAAGACAGAGCCAGAACCAACACCCCCCACUGCUGCCUGGGCUUCUUCACCCAUCAUCAUGCCGCCUUCAGUUGGUUUCUAGUGAAGGACAGGCCUUCACAGAAGAAAGCGCCCCUCUCCGAGGGGCGGCGAGGUGCUGCGGUCCCCCCACCACUCACCAUUCGAUGAAUGUACUUAGUAUGUAAGCCAUGCUCAUCCUCGUCCAGCUGUGAUUCAGCACCUUCCACAUCCUGUUUGUAUUUGGGGCUGAUUGCUACAAUUAUCAUCACUGUCUUCUGUUAAUGAGAGAGAAAGCAUGUUUAUGGAAGUGUAAAGUGUGGUCCAUUUGGUGAAGGCAGGCUGGAAACUGGCCAGCAAGACUGUAAGCGUCGUGACAUGCUCCAGAGUGGAGGGCCUGGCUCAUUCUCUGCCCAGGGUGAAAGGCACUGGCCUCCACUCUUAACAGGCUCCUGUCUCCCCUUCUCCCCUCCGUCUCCCUCCCGGCUCCCUUGAAAUGCAGAGCAAAUGGCUCUGUGAGGAGCUCUCCUAAAUGGAGGCGGUUUUGCCCACCAUUGUCCACAACCAUCACUAAUAAACGUCUAAUGAAAGCCGGAAUCGCUAAGUGACUGUGCAUCGUGGCAAAAAGGCUCCGGAACAUCACCGAUGAAAAGCCCCCUCCCUCCGGCAGCUGGGUGUAAGCUGUCAGUUACUGCACUCUUGACUGCCCUGCGUGCCACGAGCGCUUACGAGUCAGCACAGCCAGGAGGAGCAGCCCCUUCAACACAAAGCAAACAUCAGGCUGCAGACAAAAGGAAAAGCCACAAAACCCCAGCCUGCUGAGACUCUCUCCCCCACCGCUCUCUCCAAAAGAAGCAGCUGAAGCAGCCGACACGGACACACUGGCAGCAAUCAAUUUCUAUCUUGUUAGAGCACAAAGUGUCCCAGUGGUCAGUAUAGAUUCUGUCAGUGGAAAACAAAUCACAGGGCUCCGAGUGGGCGCCUGGAUUGGGGAGGGGGGACGGUUGCUGCACAGGGAGCCUCCCGGGAAAGCUCUGGAGCCCAAUCCUGCAAAACACUUGGGGUGGCCUCAGAUUAAAUUGAAUUCUGUCACUCCCUCCCCACUCCCUGCCUUCAUUUCCUCCUUUCCUAUUCUGGUCAAAAAAUUGUUUGCUCUGAUUGUUAUCAACCACCUGUGUCUGGUUUGACCGUUAUUUCCUGCCUGUGCAUGUCCAGAAGGGUGACCCCAUCCUUCCUUUCCAGGUCUUUGCGCGGCUGCCAACAAGGGAGGCUUUGUUGGGACUUUCUCGGCUUUGGACUUGGUGGGUUUGCCAAUUGCUCCUUGCAUAAAAUAGCCCCAUAAGCACAUUGUCUUUCCCACCAGCCAACGAGCUCAGAAUUUUGGAAUGUACUUACAUCUCUAAGGUAGCGUUCCAUCCACUUGAUGAUAUCAAUGCCUCGGAUUCUAUCCUCAAAUAUGUCAAUCUACAAGAAAAAGACACGGGAGGUGGCUCUUAAUGAGAAGCUUUCUCUAGUUGCAGAGCAAGAGAAAACACGAGACUAUAUGCAUUUAAGACUGAAAAAAUUAUGAGCACUUUUUGCAGAGAGCAGCAUAUAAGUCUAAAAGCCAAAAUACAAUUUUCUUAAAGUGUUCCCUAUUUCAACAUUAGUAGGCAUUGAAGUAUUUAAUAUCCGUAAUUAGGAUAUAGUGGUACACAUCAAAAUGUAUCUUUGGCUACACAAUAAUUAUGUUUUAAAAAUCUGAGAGAUAUAGUAGACUACCAAAUUGGAUAUAAGCCAGCAAAAAAAAAAAAUUAUAUCUAUAUCUAUAUAUAUAUGUGUGUGUGUGCAUAUAUAUAUAUAUAUAUAUAUGUAAUAUGAAAGGCAAACACGAUAUGAUUCUGGAGCAUUUUAAUGGAUGUGUGGUGUGCAAGUACUGAGAUAUAGUUCUGGUGCUUUACUUGCAUUAGCCAGGUCAUUAUUAUGGUAUUAUGUCCAGUUUCGAUCUAUACGUUUAAGAAGGAUUGUAUGAAACUUGGAGCAAAUCCAAGGAACAGUCACAAAAACAAUUACUGAGAUGGUGGGAAAAGGUUUAUGAUGAAAGUCAAGAAGCAGAACCUCCUGGGCCUUGAAAAGAUAGAUAUUAAAUAUCAAGUCUUUGAAGGAGUAUUUCAAGGGGAGAAAAACCAGUUACUUUCUGUUUUUUCAGAAGACCAAAUAAGAAGGCCUUUCUGGGGCUCAGGCUUUGCCCUGCAGCCAGAGAGUAAUGUACAUGUGUACAGGGUGCUCUUGUUUGGAAGAGGGAUUAUAUACAAGAAUGGGUGACUCGGGGAGAGUGUCCUUGAGGAGGAGUUAUUUGGUUCGGCCACACCGUUCUCAGAUCAGUUGUCCUAAAUGUCACUCCGCCAUUGAAGUCCUAGCUGUUCGGUAAGCUCUCCAUGCCAUCUGUGACCCAGCCUUACCUCUUGUUUCAUGUGCCCUGUCUACUUUACUCUCCCGAACCCCAAUAGCAUAGCCCAAGCCUCCCUGCUCUGUGACUCCUCCCCACUCGCUGACUUCCUCCUCACCUCACCCGCCCCGCUGUGACCAGUGGUGUUAGACACUUAACACAUCAUUAUAACAUCCUUUCAUUCACUGUAUGACUCAUUUAUGUCUGCCUUAUCUCUUCAACCUAGUUCUGAUCUUCCUGUGGAACGAGAAAGUGACACCAAACUGUCAAACACAUACAGUAUAUAAUACAAGUUCAGAAUAUGUUUCUUUACCGAUGGCACAUUAAAAAUAGAAUGGCUUUCCUUUUGGUUUGGAUGAUUCCUGCUUUAAAAUGUCUGAUAGCCAAUGACCACAUGAGGUGAUCUCGAGAAAGCUUGUAGCUCUCUGUGACUAUAUCAGGUAUUCAUUUCUAUUAUAUGAGACAGAAGCAAUAUAAUGUUGGGGUUGAGAAGGAACGGACAUCUUGGCUCUACUCUUGGUUCUACUGUUGGCUUCUGCACUUCCUGCUUGCAUAACUUUAAAACGUUAUGGAAACUCUCUAAGUCUUAUUAUCCUUAUUUGUAAUAUGUGGUUACUAAACCUACUUCCAAGGAUGGUUAUGAGGAUUAAAACAAUUGGUUAUGAAAAAGGUAUAUCAUAAUGCCAGGCUUGAAGUAAGUACUCAAUGAAUGGUAAUUUUUGUUGUUAACUGAGCACCUAAAUUAUUCCCUGCUACUGAGGUGGACUUUCCGGGAGGCACAAUGUGCUUGAUAUCUCUCAUUUGUCUCUCCAGGUCUCUACCAAAGUCCACAGCAUCUGUCAGGCCAACUUUUCCACACAGCUGCUGUUAAAGGCCACAUUGUUUCCCCCCAAACGCACAUGUUGAAGUCUUAACCUCCACUGACUCAAUGUGACUAUAUUUGGAGAUAGAGCCUUGAGAGAGGUGAUUAAGGAAAUGACCUCGUUCCUGAUGGCUGUUGCUAAUUUAUGGUGAAACACUAGGUCCCUGGCCAAUACCACAUGGACAUCCAAUCAAUUUACCCAGGGACAAGUCCACUCAAGAGCAUCAUUUAGAAGAGAGAAGCGUUGGAGUUAUUUGUUGUUGGAGUAUACGUUUAAGAAAAUCUAAUGUAUUCCCAAGAACAUUGUACUGAGAGGAACACACAGAUGCACUCAUGUGAGAUCUGGAGAGCCAGAGGAAAUAUGCUUCUGCCACUUCUGUGGUUUCUGUUGAUAAGUGCUACCAUCAGGUGCUGAGUUCCUGGGGAAGCACCCCAGUGUCCCAUUACCAGCUCCCAUGUCAAGGUGAGGGCAGAGGCAUCCAUUGUUGGCCAGAGCAGAUCCAGCAGGCACAGAAUGGACCCAAUAAUUGCAGCGCCGGUGGCUUCCUGAUCCUGGACUGUACUAUGGCGACAUGGCCUUGAAUGGAGGGUUCUCUGAUGGCUUUCUGAUCUUCUGCCUCUCCCACUGUGACGGAGGAAGCAGCUUUUUUGGCAUCCUGUUCUUUGGUGCUGCUCUGGGGUCAUUCCUGGAAGCCUGGCCUGAAGCUUGCCCUUCCAACCUCCAGCGAUUCUGCAGAGCACAAGGAAACGGAGAGCCCGAAGAAAGGAUUGAUCUGGGGAGUUUUCCAGAGGGACCCUGGAGCUAAGUCUUACAAGCUGUGAAAUUGGAUAUGCCACACAACAUGCUCUUCGGCUGGUCAGGAAACAAAGAAUUUAAACUUCAUGAGGAUGUGAUUUUUGACUGUUGGGCUCAUGGCUAUCUUCUCACCAUCUAGAGCUGUACCUGGCACAUAAAUAUUUGUGGACUGAAUAAGUGAUGGAUGCCUGUUUUUGGAAAGAGUACAGAUCUGUGUGGCUGGAAGGAUCACUGACAGUGAGAAUAUCAGGCACCAUGGGCUUGUCACAUGAUAUCCACAUGGUUACAUGGCCUGUGCUCCAGUCCCCAACAGGGGGUGGCACUUGGAGUGAAAUGGAAAAACCUCUGUGUCCUACCACUGUUCUAGAGGAGAAGGCGCUGACUCCCCAGAGGGACAGAAGAGCUGCCAGCCAGGACCCUGCAAGCCUGAGUGGCAAUGCCCCGGACAGAUGCUCGUGGACAUCCUGUCCCACUCAGCAAGCCUGGGGGAAGCUGGGACCUGUCAGCCGGUCAGCCAGGAGGAUAAUGGUCAAGUCUACCUGGCCUCGGGGCAAAUUCCUGGGGAAAGGGAGAGGCUAGAGGGUGAGAGAACUCAACUCAAGGGAGUCUUCUGGCUCAGAAUCUCUUUUUGAGGCUCAGAACACAGGUGCUCAAGCCCCACACCUAGAGAUUCUGAGGUGAGGUCAAGGCUCCCGUGUAUCUUUAAGUCCCACAGGUACGUAGAUUCUCUUGUACUCUGUGAUCUGUGCCAUUUGGCAGGAACUAUCAGAAUUUUAAACGUUUAUGCCCUUUGACCUAGUAACUUCACUUCUAAGAAUUUCCUCCACAGGGAUAUGGGUGGGUGUACCCUGCGAAAUGAAGAGGCUCUGAAGAUAGGCGAUGCAGCCUUGUUUGUUAAUAGCAAAGACUAGAAACAACCCA